AUGACGGCUGCGGGAUCCCCCCCACCCCGGGAUGCAGGAACCCCCCGGAUUCGGGACGCACCCCGGGUUUCGGGGCGCCGCGGGCCACCGGUGACUCUCAGCCCCGCGCCCACGAGUGUUCGCGGUCGGGGGUGCCCUUGGAGUCCCGGCGCUGGGAGGCGACCGGGGGUUCCCCGUCCCCGCAGCUGCAGCCGCGGUGCGGUGCGGUGCGGGGAAGCAGCGGCAGCAUCGCGGCUCCGGGCCGGCAGCUCCCGGGGCUCUCCGCCGCGUCCUGGAACGCGGCCAGCUCUGCCGGUCCCUUCGCGGGGCUGCAGCAGCCUCCGGGCUCCUCCUGCACGCGGGCUGCGGCGGUGGGGCGGUGCGGGGCGGCAGCGCUGGGCUACCCGGGGCCGUGUGCCCGCAUCCCGCCCGCAGCCUACUUUCGGAGGAGCGGCGGCGAUCCCAAAAGAGCUCUGCCAAUUGCACAGGGGGAAGGCAGCCGGACAAGGUGACUGUGUCACGAGGCGCUCGGCGGUCCCCAGCUGCACCCCGAGCUUCGGCAGCUCCGUGUGUGUCCCUCUGCGCUGCGCGCGGCUUUGGUGCAGCGCUGGGAUGUCACCCGCCCUGGGACCUCAACCACCCGAGGAUGUCACCCACCCUGGGAUGUCACCCCCCCCCCCUACGAUGACACCCACCCUGCGAUGUCACUGCUGCAGGUUGCCCAGGGGCUCCCCACCCGCCCCUCUGCAGCAGCAAAACUUCUGCCUGCUGGUGCACCCAGGUGCUGCUGCAGAUUUUCCGCUCUGUGCGCGCUGUACGGGAGCGCAGCGGCCGGCAGGCGUCGUCUCCUGCCUGCUGCAUUAUCCCUCGCUAGCGCAGCGCCUCGGCCACGCUGCCGUGGGCUGCUGGGGCCCUGCGGGAUGCCCGGGGCUCUCACCUCACUAUGGGGUCAGUGCUCGUGGCUGGAGGCUGUUGCAGAGAAGCAGAGCGGCUUUGCUGGGUCGCAGCGCUGGGGGAGCGCGGGGCGCUGUGAGAGGUGAUGCACCCAAGGUCACGGAGCAGCAGGGACAUGAGCCACGCUGUUCGGGAACGGCACGAACCCAUCGGACCCCCCAGCAGCCCCACGUUCCUCUGGGAGCGAUGCUCUGCCCGCUUCUUGCAGGUGGUGAAGCACAGGGAUGGGUCUGA
RNAcentral lists this long non-coding RNA (1167 nucleotides) under Numida meleagris (helmeted guineafowl). RNAcentral describes it as "lncRNA (ENSNMEG00000008845.1)". The record is from RNAcentral. Lineage: Eukaryota; Metazoa; Chordata; Aves; Galliformes; Numididae.